AAUGAAGUGCCUGAAAAAAAGGAUUAUUUUGAUAGAAUAAAAAAUGUAAUAUUAUUACCUUCAUUU
This 66-nucleotide transfer RNA is filed under the name Tomostethus sp. 1 QHW-2022a. Its description in RNAcentral is "tRNA-Ile". The record is from RNAcentral. Lineage: Eukaryota; Metazoa; Arthropoda; Insecta; Hymenoptera; Tenthredinidae.